GAGGGUAUAGCUUAGUGGUAAAAAGUAUGCCUAGCAUGCACAAGAUCCUGGAUUCAAUCCCCAGUACCUCUG
This is a transfer RNA of Camelus ferus (Wild Bactrian camel), 72 nucleotides long. It matches the Rfam family "tRNA". From Rfam's summary of the family: Transfer RNA (tRNA) molecules are approximately 80 nucleotides in length. Their secondary structure includes four short double-helical elements and three loops (D, anti-codon, and T loops). The record is from Rfam. NCBI's taxonomy places the organism in Eukaryota, Metazoa, Chordata, Mammalia, Artiodactyla, Camelidae.